Molecule: ribosomal RNA, 447 nt
Filed under: uncultured bacterium
Lineage: Bacteria
Description: bacterial SSU rRNA
Rfam family: Bacterial small subunit ribosomal RNA
Source: RNAcentral
UUCCAGACUCCUACGGGAGGCAGCAGUGGGGGAUAUUGCACAAUGGGGGAAACCCUGAUGCAGCGACGCCGCGUGAGCGAUGAAGUAUUUCGGUAUGUAAAGCUCUAUCAGCAGGGAAGAAGAUGACGGUACCUGACUAAGAAGCCCCGGCUAACUACGUGCCAGCAGCCGCGGUAAUACGUAGGGGGCAAGCGUUAUCCGGAUUUACUGGGUGUAAAGGGAGCGUAGACGGCGAUGCAAGCCAGAUGUGAAAGCCCGGGGCUCAACCCCGGGACUGCAUUUGGAACUGUGUGGCUGGAGUGUCGGAGAGGCAGGCGGAAUUCCUAGUGUAGCGGUGAAAUGCGUAGAUAUUAGGAGGAACACCAGUGGCGAAGGCGGCCUGCUGGACGAUGACUGACGUUGAGGCUCGAAAGCGUGGGGAGCAAACAGGAUUAGAUACCCGAGUAA